This 381-nucleotide ribosomal RNA is filed under the name uncultured eukaryote. RNAcentral's name for it is "SSU rRNA". It matches the Rfam family "Eukaryotic small subunit ribosomal RNA", at positions 587 to 972 of the family's 1831-position model. The record is from RNAcentral.
AGCUCCAAUAGCGUAUAUUAAAGUUGUUGCGGUUAAAAAGCUCGUAGUUGGAUUUCUGUUGAGGACAGGCGGUCCGCACUAUGUGCGUGUAUCUGUUUUGGCCUUGGCAUCCUCUUGGGGAACAAUACUGCGCUUAGUUGCGUGGAUUGGUAUCCAGGACUUUUACUUUGAGGAAAUUAGAGUGUUCACGGCAGGCUCGCGCCUUGAAUAUAUUAGCAUGGAAUAAUACUAUAAGACUUCGGUUUUAUUUUGUUGGUUUCUAAAGCUGAAGUAAUGAUUAAUAGGAACAAUUGGGGGCAUUUGUAUUAACACGUCAGAGGUGGAAUUCUUGGAUUGUGUUACGACAAACUACUGCGAAAGCAUUUGCCAAGGAUGUUUUCA